AUUGAACGCAGGCGGCAGGCCUAACACAUGCAAGUCGAGCGGAUGAAGGGAGCUUGCUCCUGGAUUCAGCGGCGGACGGGUGAGUAAUGCCUAGGAAUCUGCCUGGUAGUGGGGGAUAACGUCCGGAAACGGGCGCUAAUACCGCAUACGUCCUGAGGGAGAAAGUGGGGGAUCUUCGGACCUCACGCUAUCAGAUGAGCCUAGGUCGGAUUAUCUAGUUGGUGGGGUAAAGGCCUACCAAGGCGACGAUCCGUAACUGGUCUGAGAGGAUGAUCAGUCACACUGGAACUGAGACACGGUCCAGACUCCUACGGGAGGCAGCAGUGGGGAAUAUUGGACAAUGGGCGAAAGCCUGAUCCAGCCAUGCCGCGUGUGUGAAGAAGGUCUUCGGAUUGUAAAGCACUUUAAGUUGGGAGGAAGGGCAGUAAGUUAAUACCUUGCUGUUUUGACGUUACCAACAGAAUAAGCACCGGCUAACUUCGUG
Molecule: ribosomal RNA, 484 nt
Filed under: uncultured bacterium
Lineage: Bacteria
Description: partial 16S ribosomal RNA
Rfam family: Bacterial small subunit ribosomal RNA
Source: RNAcentral